GAAGCUGGAUUAAUUUGAUGAUGGGUAAACACACGUAUUAAUUGUGAUGUUGCAGGAAAAUUCGAGUGUAUCCAAAGGGCCAUGGCAGUGGUGAAGGCAGCCAUCUUUCCCCAUAUCUGGAACUGGCAGAUCCUGCUGCGCUGCAUCCUGCAACCAAAAUAUAUGCAGAGGUAACGUUGCGCCUGCAAGAUCAGAUUUACUCAAAGCAUCAUUCUGGAAAAGGUAAAAAUACAUAAUCACAAUGACUCACAUGGUCAGAUACAAACUAUUCAGUUUUAACACAAUGGCAAGGAUUUUUUUUGUUUUGUUAUUGGCAGUUUCAUAUUGGUUUAGUGCGUCAAACCCAGAAGUUGGGGGCCCAAGAUUCAUUCUCUUAGACAAUUUCAAACAACCUAAC
Molecule: long non-coding RNA, 397 nt
Filed under: Cucumis sativus (cucumber)
Lineage: Eukaryota; Viridiplantae; Streptophyta; Magnoliopsida; Cucurbitales; Cucurbitaceae
Description: long non-coding RNA (CSAT_LNC002159)
Source: RNAcentral